AGUAACACGUAGACAACUUACCUCUUAGCGGGGGAGUAGCCCGCCGAAAGGCGGGGUAAUACCGCGUAAGAUCCUGAAUCGGCAUCGGUUUAGGAUGAAACAUCCGUAAGGAUGGCUAAGAGAGAGGUCUGCGGCCUAUCAGCUAGUUGGUGAGGUAACGGCUCACCAAGGCAACGACGGGUAUCCGGCCUGAAAGGGUGAUCGGACACACUGACACUGAGACACGGGUCAG
RNAcentral lists this ribosomal RNA (232 nucleotides) under uncultured bacterium. Its description in RNAcentral is "partial 16S ribosomal RNA". It matches the Rfam family "Bacterial small subunit ribosomal RNA", at positions 109 to 334 of the family's 1533-position model. The record is from RNAcentral.